GUUUGUCCCUGGGCGCUUCGCUGGCCUCAUCCGGUCUCGGCCCUGUUCUGGGCCUGGCGCCUUUCCCAUUGUUGGGGAAAGUGGUCUAGGAGACCAAGGCAGCGUGCUGGGUGGGAGAGAAUGAUUUGUGGCUUCUGAUUCUGACAUAUGUCGUAGAGGAGGGGAGGGAUGAGUGACCCUGUUUUACUUAUGGAGAACCUGGGGCCAGAGCUGUUUUCCCAGGGUGACACAGGCGGUGUAUACAGAGCUCUAACUGUCCUGUUCCAACCAAAGGGGGAAAACCAAGAAGCACUUGUGAAGUUAACAUUUCAGAGACAGAGGAUCACUAAAAGGCUGAGACCUAAUCAUAGGACUGUGAUCACUCUUCUGUCCUUUGCCACCUUACUACGAUAUUACUGUAGGGCCUACUAACUGCAGUUCCUCUUACCCAGUACCUCAUGUCUGAUGUCAAGAAAAAAAUUACAAGUCAUA
Molecule: long non-coding RNA, 471 nt
Filed under: Pan troglodytes (chimpanzee)
Lineage: Eukaryota; Metazoa; Chordata; Mammalia; Primates; Hominidae
Description: long non-coding RNA NONPTRT010216
Source: RNAcentral